CUUCAUAUUUCUAUGAAGAUUAGACUAUAUCUUAAGAUAUAUACCCUAUAAUUAUAUAGUCGUUGAACCAACUCUAAUAAUUCUUAAAGUUAGCUGCGAAUUGUCCACGUUAUGGCUAUAUUUUAACGUACUAAAUUUUUUAUCUAGUUUUGUAUAAGCCAUUUUGGAUUUUCUCGCAAUUUAAUCAUAUUGCUUUCUUAAAUAUUUAAGAAAACUAACAUUGGUUAUUAGCCAAUAUUUUG
RNAcentral lists this non-coding RNA (242 nucleotides) under Catovirus CTV1. Lineage: Varidnaviria; Bamfordvirae; Nucleocytoviricota; Megaviricetes; Imitervirales; Mimiviridae. The record is from RNAcentral.